Molecule: non-coding RNA, 297 nt
Organism: Vicia faba (fava bean)
Lineage: Eukaryota; Viridiplantae; Streptophyta; Magnoliopsida; Fabales; Fabaceae
Source: the annotation of a GenBank genome assembly
AUGCUACUUUUAUCUAUUACUAGUUACUACUACGCUCCGAAAUUGCGCGCACACUGUCAUAAUAAUUCUCUUAUUUUUUGCUUUCUUCUUCACACUUCACAAAACCAAACUCACCUUAUCGUUCUUUAUUCAGAUUUCAAUCCAAAACAAUCAUGGCCCAAGGUAUAUUUACUUUCAUCUCUACCUCUAUUGUUGAAUUUCAAAUCUGGUUUUAUGCCUCAACUCAUGUUUGAAGUUUUAUGUCGAUUGGCUAUUUGGGGUAUUUUUGUUUUGCUUUUGAUUUACAGGUGGAGAUAA